RNAcentral lists this ribosomal RNA (460 nucleotides) under uncultured bacterium. RNAcentral's name for it is "partial 16S ribosomal RNA". It matches the Rfam family "Bacterial small subunit ribosomal RNA", at positions 338 to 795 of the family's 1533-position model. The record is from RNAcentral.
CCUACGGGAGGCAGCAGUGAGGAAUAUUGGUCAAUGGCCGAAAGGCUGAACCAGCCACGCCGCGUGAGGGAAGACGGCCCUACGGGUUGUAAACCUCUUUUGUCGGGGAGCAAAGCGAGUCACGUGUGACUCAUUGAGAGUACCCGAAGAAAAAGCAUCGGCUAACUCCGUGCCAGCAGCCGCGGUAAUACGGAGGAUGCGAGCGUUAUCCGGAUUUAUUGGGUUUAAAGGGUGCGCAGGCGGAGGUGCAAGUUAGCUGUGAAAACUACGGGCUUAACUUGUAGACUGCAGUUGAAACUGGGUGUCUUGAGUGAAGUAGAGGUUGGCGGAAUGCCGAGUGUAGCGGUGAAAUGCGUAGAUAUUCGGAGGAACACCGGUGGCGAAGGCGGCCAACUGGGCUUUAACUGACGCUGAGGCUCGAAAGUGUGGGGAGCAAACAGGAUUAGAUACCCCUGUAGUC